AUACAAAGAGACAAACUGUACCUGUAGUGAUCUCAGGCUGUAAAAAGCUCCAGGAUGAACCAUGUUAAUGUCGUUGCCAUGCAACAUGAGCAUUUCUAGCUGCCGCAGUGACCUGAAUUCAGACCCCUCCACCUCCGUCAGGCUGUUAUAUCUGUUAGAGAAAACAAACAGGACCAGGUACUGUUAUGGCAUAAGGCGAAGAAGGCAACAAUAUUCAGCAAUCUAUGUGUGUAAAUGUGACCUUUCAGAUAAAAGGAAAAUGCUUGAAGGACUGACAAGUGGAAAGAAUGAAGGGUGACAGAGAGUGUUCAGACAGACUUUGACCCUUAAAGCUUUCCUAUUUUUAAAUCAGAGGAAACGCAUGUGCAGAUUCAAGUGAUUUAUCUUCUUUACAAAGAAGAUCUAAAACAGCACCAAUGUGGAACAGGAAGUAGCCUAACAUGUUCAGAAAGUAGGCGCAGUUUUCUAAGAUAUUAUUUCUAUUAUUUCUAACAGUUCCAGAGUAAAAAAAAAAAAAAAGACAAAAUGAUCAUGAUAUGUCAGCAUUUCCAGUAACUGGUUAUGAACUUUUCAUAUAGCUUUGCCAUGCAAAACCACUCUGCAAACCUCCUCAAAACCUCUUCUGGCAUCAACAUCAACACAAAAACUGAGCUGGUGCUUCAUGGCUCCUUUAAGUGUAGCGUGUAUGUGGCCAUGCACUUUUGUCCAUACAUUCAUUCAUGUCAACAUUUAUCAGAAACAGCUACAUCCUCAGCCCCACAUCGACUAUACGAGUCUCAAGUAUGUUAGACUACUUGGUGUUUAGAAGUCAGCCUCCAUCUCCUUACAGCUUUAAAUCCCCAUGUGCUACAGCAGUCCCCUGUGCUGUAGGCGGUCCAUACCAUCCUCCAGGCUAUUUACUGAACAGUUCCUUUGAAAGACAGUGGAAACCCGCAGUUUUCUUUUGAAUUCAAACUGCAUGUCUCUAAACCUACACUAAAGGAAACAGGCCCAAGAGUCUAAAUAAAACACCCAAACAUGUCUGGUGUGAACAUUUAGAGUUAAAAUCCCUCCACCCUAUUUUCAGGGUGGUCCCGUCAUCGGAAGUUUUAAAUCUGUUUGUUCCCUAAAGGCUCGUGGUCCCCUUCCAAAUGUAUUGUCUGUGCAGUGUCCUGCCGAAAUUCCCUUUGUUCCUAAUACUAUAGACGCCGCCGCCACACACA
Molecule: long non-coding RNA, 1202 nt
Organism: Astatotilapia calliptera (eastern happy)
Lineage: Eukaryota; Metazoa; Chordata; Actinopteri; Cichliformes; Cichlidae
Source: Ensembl